AUUGAACGCUGGCGGCAUGCUUUACACAUGCAAGUCGAACGGUAACAGGUCUUCGGAUGCUGACGAGUGGCGAACGGGUGAGUAAUACAUCGGAACGUGCCUAGUAGUGGGGGAUAACUACUCGAAAGAGUAGCUAAUACCGCAUGAGAUCUACGGAUGAAAGCAGGGGACCUUMGGGCCUUGUGCUACUAGAGCGGCUGAUGGCAGAUUAGGUAGUUGGUGGGGUAAAAGCUUACCAAGCCUGCGAUCUGUAGCUGGUCUGAGAGGACGACCAGCCACACUGGGACUGAGACACGGCCCAGACUCCUACGGGAGGCAGCAGUGGGGAAUUUUGGACAAUGGGCGAAAGCCUGAUCCAGCAAUGCCGCGUGCAGGAUGAAGGCCCUCGGGUUGUAAACUGCUUUUGUACGGAACGAAAAGCCUGGGGCUAAUAUCCCCGGGUCAUGACGGUACCGUAAGAA
This 461-nucleotide ribosomal RNA is filed under the name Comamonas testosteroni. RNAcentral describes it as "bacterial SSU rRNA". It matches the Rfam family "Bacterial small subunit ribosomal RNA", at positions 30 to 486 of the family's 1533-position model. Lineage: Bacteria; Pseudomonadati; Pseudomonadota; Betaproteobacteria; Burkholderiales; Comamonadaceae. The record is from RNAcentral.